RNA transcript from Peromyscus leucopus (white-footed mouse), 4839 nucleotides. It is a transcript of the gene named SR-related CTD associated factor 8, with no coding region annotated. The record is from RefSeq and is a predicted model, not a curated record. The transcript is spliced from 20 exons. Lineage: Eukaryota; Metazoa; Chordata; Mammalia; Rodentia; Cricetidae.
UAGUAAUAACAUCAUUAGCACUUUCCAGAAUUUAUAUCGUUGCCCUGGGGAUGACAAGGGAAACAUGCUGAACACAGGCGCUGAGCUACAUUUCUUAAGUGAAGAAAUGCCCUCUCUAAAGUUAUUUAAAUAGCUUAUAAAAUGAAAUUUGUUAAGAGUCACAUUAGAUGAGGACUUUGUCCUGAAGUUACUUGCUAGUUCAGAAGAGUAAAAUAGUGAGAGUAUUAAACUUGUGGCAGAAGAAUAAUGUUUUUAAGAGUGAGAUUAUCCAGCCUCUUCUGGAUAUGGCAGCAGGGAUUCCCCCCCCAGUUGUCACCCCAGUUUUGGCUGGCACCACUGCAGCGAUGAGCAAUACUCCAGGAACCCCUGUGACACCUGUUACUCCAGCCAAUGUGGUCCAAGGCUUACCUGAUCCAUGGGUGUCUCAGAUAACAAACACAGACACACUGGCAGCCGUUGCUCAGAUCUUACAGAGUCCUCAAGGUCAGCAGCUUCAGCAGCUCAUACAAACCUUACAGAUACAACAGCAGAAGCCCCAGCCUUCCAUCCUGCAGGCCUUGGAUGCUGGUCUAGUGGUUCAGUUGCAGGCACUCACAGCACAGCUUACAGCUGCAGCCGCAGCAGCCAACUCCCUUACACCCUUGGAUCAGGGAGUCUCUUUCAACAAGAAGUUGAUGGAUAGGUUUGAUUUUGGGGAAGAUUCUGAGCACAGCGAAGAAUCCAAAAAGGAAAUUCCUACUCCUCAACUUUCUCAUGUUUCCGAAUCUGUGAACAACUCCAUCUUCCAUCAGAUUGCAGAGCAGCUGCAGCAGCAGAACCUGGAGCACCUGCGACAGCAGCUCUUGGAGCAGCAGCAGCAGCCUCAGAAGGUAACUCCUCAAGAUAGCCAGGAGGGAACAUUUGGGUCAGAGCACUCAGCGUCACCCUCACAAGGAAGUAGCCAGCAGCAUUUUCUGGAACCUGAAGCAAAUUUAGAUGAUUCCAUAGACAUUCAGCAACAGGAUAUGGAUAUUGAUGAAGGACAAGAUGUUGUUGAAGAGGAGAUCUUUGAACCAGAAGCUAAGAAAGUAGCUGUUCGCUCAAGAUCAAGAACUCAUUCGCGAUCUCGAUCAAGAUCACCAAGAAAACGAAGGUCCAGGUCACGAUCUGGGUCGAGAAAGCGAAAACAUAGGAAGCGAUCCCGCUCCCGUUCUAGAGAGAGAAAGAGAAAAUCAUCACGAUCAUAUUCAAGUGAAAGAAGAGCCAGAGAAAGGGAGAAAGAACGCCAAAAAAAGGGACUGCCUCCUGUCAGAUCAAAAACUCUAAGUGUGUGCAGCACUACUCUCUGGGUUGGCCAAGUGGAUAAGAAGGCUACACAGCAAGAUCUAACCAACCUCUUUGAGGAGUUUGGACAAAUUGAAUCUAUUAAUAUGAUUCCACCCAGGGGCUGUGCAUAUGUCUGUAUGGUUCAUCGACAAGAUUCUUUUCGGGCUCUUCAGAAACUGAGUUCAGGAUCCUAUAAAAUUGGUUCCAAGGUCAUUAAGAUUGCCUGGGCUUUGAACAAAGGUGUAAAGACGGAAUAUAAACAGUUCUGGGAUGUGGAUCUUGGAGUCACAUAUAUACCUUGGGAAAAAGUUAAAGUGGAUGACUUGGAUGGCUUUGCAGAAGGAGGCAUGAUAGACCAGGAAACUGUAAAUGCUGAAUGGGAAACUGUGAAAACCUCAGAACCCGUUAAAGAGACGGUCCAGACUACACAGAGUCCAACUCCAGUUGAAAAGGAGACAGUGGUUACAACACAGGCAGAGGUCUUCCCUCCGCCUGUGGCCAUGCUGCAGAUUCCAGUAGCUCCAGCGGUUCCUGCAGUUAGUCUAGUUCCACCAGCGUUUCCUGUGUCGAUGCCGGUCCCACCUCCUGGAUUCAGCCCAAUUCCUCCUCCUCCUUUUCUCCGAGCAAGUUUUAACCCUUCACAACCACCUCCUGGUUUUAUGCCACCUCCGGUUCCCCCACCUGUUGUACCUCCCCCUGCAAUUCCUCCAGUAGUACCAACAUCUUUAGUGCAACCACCAUUGUCCAUGACCCCAGAAACUGUGAAAGAUGUUGGAUUUGGUAGCCUUGUUUUACCAGGUGGUUCUGUGGCCAGCGGUCUCGCUCCUUCAACUCUAUCAGCUGGAAAUGUUUUUAAUCCUCCCAAUAAAGCAGAGCCUGAAGAAAAAGUACCUCACCUUACAGAACACCAGAUUCCUUCUGGUGAAAACACCAGACCAGUGAUUCCAAAUGAUAUUCCAAGUAGUGCUGCAAUGUUAGCACAGCCGCCUGGCCCCGCAAACACCUCUGGGAUCCUGUGUGUGCAGAGACCAAAUGUGUCAAGUAAUUCUGAAAUUCUGGGGGUUCGGCCAGCUAAUGUUUCCAGUAAUGCUGCGAUUAUUGGAGCCCAGCCACCAAAUAUUCUAAAUAACUCUGGAAUUUUGGGCAUACAGCCACCAAAUGUGUCGAGUGGCUCUGGACUUCUUGGGGUACUGCCUCCAAACUUGCCUAACAACUCUGGACUUGUAGGACUACAGCCACCAAAUGUUACAAAUCCUGCUGGACUUUUGGGAACACAGCCACCAAUUGGACCUCAAAACUUACCUCCCUUAACUAUCCCAGCCCAAAGGAUGCCUGCAUUGCCAAUGUUAGACAUCCGUCCAGGACUGAUACCACAGGCUCCUGGACCAAGAUUCCCUUUACUACAGCCUGGAAUCCCCCCCCAACGUGGGAUCCCUCCCCCAUCGGUACUUGAUGCAGCUCUUCACCCGCCUCCCCGUGGACCUUUUCCUCCUGGAGAUCUUUUUAGUCAGCCAGAAAGACCUUUUCUGGCUCCUGGAAGACCAAGUAUAGACAAUGUUCCCAACCCAGAUAAACGAAUACCACUUGGGAAUGACAGUAUUCAGCAGGAAGGGGAUAGAGAUUACCGGUUUCCUCCUGUAGAAACAAGGGAGGGCAUGAAUAGACCUCCCCCGGUGGAUGUUAGGGAUGUGGUUGGGCGACCUAUAGAUCCCCGAGAAGGCCCUGGAAGGCCUCCAUUAGAUGGUAGGGAUCAUUUUGGAAGACCUCCUGUGGACAUCAGAGAGAAUCUUGUGAGGCCAGGUCUAGAUCAUCUUGGUCGAAGAGACCACUUUGGCUUUCCCCCAGAGAAGCCUUGGGGGCAUAGAGAUUUUGAUGAGAGAGAGCAUCGAGUUCUGCCUGUCUUUGGUGGUCCAAAAGGCUUACAUGAAGAAAGAGGUAGAUUUCGGGCUGGAAGUUACCGAUUUGAUCCUAGAAGUGGUCCUUGGAACAGAGGAUUUGCGCAAGAAGUUCACAGAGAUUUUGAUGACCGCAGAAGACCCUGGGAGAGGCAAAGGGAUAGGGAUGACAGAGAUUUUGAUUUCUGCAGAGAAAUUAAUGGAAAUCGUCUUGGACGAGAUAGAAUUCAAAACACUUGGGUCCCCCCUCCUCAUGCUCGGGUGUUUGAUUAUUUCGAAGGGGCCACUUCUCAACGAAAAGGUGAUAAUGUGCCUCAAGUUAACGGUGAAAAUACAGAGAGGCAUGCUCAGCCACCGCCUUUACCAGUCCAGAAGGACCCUGAACUCUAUGACAAACUGGCGUCUUCAGGUGACGUAGACAAGGAGGAGAGCGGCACAGUUGCUGAUGUAGAAAGUGAAGCAGUGGUGGUAGAGAGCACAGAGACUGAGGGGACAUAACCAUCGCUCAGUAGGACAGAUGAUCCAGAAGAUUGCAGAGCAUCUCGGCUUGUAGGAGGAUGUGAAUUUGCUCAUCAUCAGUAGCCUGGCUACAGCUGGAGGAGGCCAAGAAGGAAAAUCUGUAUUGCUCUCCAUCUGGCAGAAGAUGAUUUUUGAGCGAUCAACAUUACUCAAGAGACUAUGCCUAAGGAUGCAUAGUCCUUGCAUGGUUUAAAAGAAAUGAAAAUAAGAAAGAAGUGGAAGGCAAGGCGUGGAACCUGCCCCUCUGAAGUUGCAGCCCCGAGAAGGGACCUGGUGUCAAAGAGCGGGUGCCAACACCCAGAGGUUUCUAGGCAGCAGGUGAGCUGUACAAACAAUAACGGGCGUGAAGGCGGUGGAAGGGUCAGGUCGGGAGCGACGGCCCUGAGCCCUGGGCUGGGCGCUAAGGAGGAAUUGGCUGUCUUAGUGUUUUCCAUGCCGAAUCAAAGAACACCGUGGAUCCUGAUGUCCUCAGGGUACGGCCAUUCCUUUGUGGAUUGAUUGCAGUGGGAAUGAAUGAAGACGCAUAUGUGAGCACCCCAGGAGAAGCUGGGAGAUUAGCUGGAGAGCCGGAAUGCUAUAAAUCACACCUCCUGGGGCCCUCUGGUAGUGAUCCCGUUGCAAGCCUUACCAGGAGGCAUCUCUCCAGCUCCCGAUUGGAGCGUCUUUUGUGUGCGUUGGCUGUUUGGCUGUCUUCUUGGUAACAGUAGCGGUUCCACUCUUUUCUAGCUGCAACUGUUUGGUUUGUAAUUAAUUGCUUCCUCACAGCUCUAUUCCCAGGCCAGACCUUUAUUGGAUGCUGUUGGUGGAGGCAUCAUUUCUCUGACUGUCUUGGAGCAUCGUGGCUGGCAGAUGCCUCUGAGAGGCAGCAGCUGAAGGCUGGGGUCCCUCUUCAACCUUUCCUCAUCUCAGAGUCUGGGUAGCUCUUUAAGAACCCGCGAGCCUACACAAUGUGUACGCUCAAUAUUUCUUUCAUGUUCCCCAUUUGUUUUCUAUAUCAUAAAGACCGGACUAAUAUAAGCUGUUCUUCUAUCUUGUCGUUCAGGGCAUUUCAAGGGAAGGCCAUGCUGUUCUGUGGGUACACACCAAGAUGAACACGAUCAUUUUCAGGGCUGGGACUAAG